AACGAACGCUGGCGGCAUGCCUAACACAUGCCAGUCGAACGAGACCUUCGGGUCUAGGGGCGCACGGGUGCGUAACGCGUGGGAACCUGCCCGUAGGUUCGGAAUAACUCCCCGAAAGGGGUGCUAAUACCGGAUAAUGUCUUCGGACCAAAGAUUUAUCGCCUUUGGAUGGGCCCGCGUUGGCUUAGCUAGUUGGUAGGGUAAAAGCCUACCAAGGCGACGAUCCAUAGCUGGUCUGAGAGGAUGAUCAGCCACACUGGGACUGAGACACGGCCCAGACUCCUACGGGAGGCAGCAGUGGGGAAUAUUGGACAAUGGGCGAAAGCCUGAUCCAGCAAUGCCGCGUGAGUGAUGAAGGCCUUAGGGUUGUAAAGCUCUUUUACCCGGGAUGAUAAUGACAGUACCGGGAGAAUAAGCUCCGGCUAACUCCGUG
This 433-nucleotide ribosomal RNA is filed under the name uncultured bacterium. RNAcentral's name for it is "partial 16S ribosomal RNA". It matches the Rfam family "Bacterial small subunit ribosomal RNA", at positions 29 to 507 of the family's 1533-position model. The record is from RNAcentral.